This 253-nucleotide ribosomal RNA is filed under the name uncultured bacterium. RNAcentral's name for it is "partial 16S ribosomal RNA". It matches the Rfam family "Bacterial small subunit ribosomal RNA", at positions 524 to 776 of the family's 1533-position model. The record is from RNAcentral.
UACGGGGGGGGCAAGCGUUGUUCGGAAUUACUGGGCGUAAAGGGCUCGUAGGCGGCCAACUAAGUCAGACGUGAAAUCCCUCGGCUUAACUGGGGAACUGCGUCUGGUACUGGAUGGCUUGAGUUUGGGAGAGGGAUGCGGAAUUCCAGGUGUAGCGGUGAAAUGCGUAGAUAUCUGGAGGAACACCGGUGGCGAAGGCGGCAUCCUGGACCAACACUGACACUGAUGAGCGAAAGCCAGGGGAGCAAACGGG